ACGGGUGAGUAAUGUCUGGGAAACUGCCUGAUGGAGGGGGAUAACUACUGGAAACGGUAGCUAAUACCGCAUAACGUCGCAAGACCAAAGAGGGGGACCUUCGGGCCUCUUGCCAUCAGAUGUGCCCAGAUGGGAUUAGCUAGUAGGUGGGGUAAUGGCUCACCUAGGCGACGAUCCCUAGCUGGUCUGAGAGGAUGACCAGCCACACUGGAACUGAGACACGGUCCAGACUCCUACGGGAGGCAGCAGUGGGGAAUAUUGCACAAUGGGCGCAAGCCUGAUGCAGCCAUGCCGCGUGUGUGAAGAAGGCCUUCGGGUUGUAAAGCACUUUCAGCGAGGAGGAAGGUGGUGAGCUUAAUACGUUCAUCAAUUGACGUUACUCGCAGAAGAAGCACCGGCUAACUCCGUGCCAGCAGCCGCGGUAAUACGGAGGGUGCAAGCGAUAAUCGGAAUUACUGGGCGUAAAGCGCACGCAGGCGGUUUGUUAAGUCAGAUGUGAAAUCCCCGGGCUCAACCUGGGAACUGCAUUUGAAACUGGCAAGCUAGAGUCUCGUAGAGGGGGGUAGAAUUCCAGGUGU
RNAcentral lists this ribosomal RNA (578 nucleotides) under uncultured Serratia sp. Its description in RNAcentral is "bacterial SSU rRNA". It matches the Rfam family "Bacterial small subunit ribosomal RNA", at positions 102 to 676 of the family's 1533-position model. Lineage: Bacteria; Pseudomonadati; Pseudomonadota; Gammaproteobacteria; Enterobacterales; Yersiniaceae. The record is from RNAcentral.